This is a long non-coding RNA of Biomphalaria glabrata, 4374 nucleotides long. RefSeq lists it as uncharacterized. Lineage: Eukaryota; Metazoa; Mollusca; Gastropoda; Planorbidae. The record is from RefSeq and is a predicted model, not a curated record. The transcript has 2 exons.
UUAUUAUAUAGUUAUAGUAAUAUAGUAGAGAUCUAUAGAUAGGCAUAGCACUAAUAAUACUGCAUAGAUCUAGUAUCAUAAGUAUGGACUAUGGUCAUGAUAUUGACAAUAUUGUCAUAUUGAUGGAUAGAAAUAAUUAGGACUAGUGGCUCCCAAACAUUAUUGUUCUAGACUAGCGGUCCUCAACCUUUUUAGCUCGGCGACCCCUUUUACAAUUACCAUCUUUGGUCUUUGCGGCGACCCACAGGUUGAGAACCCCUGUUCUAGACCCAAUGUCAUGUUUUCCAGUUUUGGUAGACCUUUUGCUUAAAGGACAGAGGUGCAGUCGCCCGUAGGCGCAAAAAGAUCAACUCAUAGAAGAAAGUAGAUGGCAGCAGAUGGUCUCUGAAACUGAAAGAGGCAGUUGGAGAGCUCUCACAAAGAAAGACUGUAGGACACAUAAGAACUAUUUGAAACCCAAAGAAAAACCCUUGUUUAAGUCAAGGAAUGUGCCUUUAUCUUUGUGUCUUUCUGAGUAUUUUUAAUAGGUUUUGUUUUUGUAUUAGAAGUGUUUUAUGCAUAAUUUCUACUUUUCUUUAUAGUCUUCUAUCCUGAAAGCUUUAUAAAUUUAGUGAUUUUACUAAAGGUGUUACUCUAGUCAAAUGGGAAUAUUCGUUUUUUAUGAAUCCAUGAACAUCACGUUACUAAGAAUGAAAGGUAAUAAACAGGAUCAAAGGCUCAAUGGCUAAGUUCACUCCAGAUGAAAAUAUAACAAUCUUUAAUACAGAAUGGGCCAUAGUCGAGUCAGUCACUACAAUGAUGUUAUCCCUUUGAGAGCCUAGCACUAACUGAUCUCAAAGUCUACACUAAUCUCUAACCCCAAACGUCUAUGUCGUCACUCUAAAAUGUGAGUUCACUGUCAGUCUAUUAUAGUGCGUAACUAAACUAAGUGUCUAACGGGAUGCAUAUUCUAUUACUGGCCUAACCAAGGUUAUAUAACAUUUUAGUUUUAUUUAAUUUAUAGAAAUUUCAUGUAAUAAACCCUAAUGUUUUGUUUGAUCUUUUAAUAGUAUCCAUGGCAGUUUCUCAUUUAUUAUAACACCUAGGUAUUUUGAGUUUUUAGUCUGUGUUACUGGUUUACAAUGAAUAAAAUAGGUGGAAUGUAUUUGUUUUAGUUUUUUUUUUUUGUUACUCUGUAAUAACUGACAUUGUUCUGGGUGUAAUUCAUCUAAGUCUUUUUGUAAAUUUCUAUAUCUUUGGACCUAAGACUGUUCAUUGAGGUACACUUGAGUUUAUUGUUAUUGGUGUUGAUUUAGAGCAGUGGUUCCCAAACUUUUUUGUCUCGUAGACCCCUUGCCAUGUUUUCUGGUUAUCGGUAGACCCCCUGCUUAACUUUCAAAUUUUUGCAAAUUCAACAUUUUUAAAACUAAUUUCUAUCUGUACAAAAAGUAAAGUAAAGUUCCCCUCUCAGACCUUGUGGUCUAUAGGGCAGAUGAUGUAAAGGUCAUCUGUUUCUGAGGACUACGAUUAUCGAGGGUGUCAUGUGGCCAGCACAACGACCAACAGCCUUUACUUUCCCCAACUAAUGUCAGGUACUCAUUAGAGCUGGGUGGCCUCAGAGGCGCCCAAAAGAUCCCGAAAUUAAAAAUCCAAGUUUUCAACAGGAUUCAAACUCGGGACCCCCGUUUCAGAAGCCAAACACUUUACGGCUCAGCCAAAACGCCUCCAAAUUUCUAUCUGUAGAGAGUUGAAAAGUGAAAAAGUAAUUUAAAGCUACAUAUUAGAGAUUUUAGAGAUCUCUCUUUUUUAUUGAUAAAAUUCAAAACCAAUUAAAAUAGCAAUAUGUAUUGCUUGAAUCUCCAAACACAAUGGCCUUAAGUAUCAUUGUAAGAGUUUUCGCAAAGAGCAGUUUCUCGUGUAUAUCUUGAUGUUUCACGUGUUGCUCGAAUAUUGAGUCUGCGAAUAUGUUAUCACUAUCGGGAGAAAGAGCGAAGGCGAGUGACUGUCGCCUCAACCAGUAAGCUUCGAGCAGGAAGGGCUCAUUUGUCUUGGCUGGCUACCCACCUAGCAGAAGUAAAACUGAAUUCAAAACUCUCCUGUCUUGUGGGUUAACCUGAGGAAAAAUAAGGAGCCGGCGACCGUAAUGCAGUUUGCAGCACACACCACUACAUCCUGUCAGAACCUGUGACGCUGCUGAGCCCAAACGUAUAUAUGUCAUUUGCAAAGAAUGACAUAUGAAGCUUUUAAUUUUAUAACUCAUGCCACCGAAGCAACCUUGAACUGUAUUGUUGCUUAAAGAAAUUCUUUUAAUAAUAUCAGAUGUGGGUUUGUGUAAAACAGGUUUUAGAACUAUAACGGCUGGUAAAAAUCAGUGUUUUACCUAUUGGUGUUUUCCGCAUUUGCCAUGAAUAAGUAAAUUUCCCCUUUCAGACAUUGUGAUGAUGUUAUGGUCAUCUGUUUCUUUGGCCAACGGUUAACGAGCAGGGUGUCAUGUGGGCAGAACAACGACCAACCACCUUUACUUUUACUAACAUAAAUCAGGUACCCAUUAGAGAUGGGUGGACUCAGGGGAGCCCUGAAAAAUCCUGAAAUUCAAAAUUCACAGAGAUUCGAACCCAGGACCCCAAUUACGGAAGCCAAGCGCUUAACCACUACCAACACACCCUUAUUUUGCUAUAAGUGAACAGAUAUUGUAAGACUCAUAAACCACCAUCUUCUCUACAUGAUGUUGAAUAGAGAUUUUGUGGUCUCUUCUGAACUUUAUCUUUGAAUGUUCAAAAGUUUUUCAAAUCUAUAUCUUUUUAUCUGGGUGAUAUUGUCGCAGAUGAUCCUCAAGCGUAAUUAGUUUCAUAUCGUCAAAAAAAGGCAAUCGGUAACCGCUUGGUUGACAAGGAAAGAAUGAACAAUUUUACAUAAUCAACGCUAGACAGUCUACAUUUCUUUUUGUUAAACAUUAUUUACAUGGAGACAAAAUUAAGUUAUUUUAAUAAGUAUUGAAAUUAAAUACAACAAUUUUUCGUUUGAAUAGCAGGAUAAAUAUUUAAAUGAUUAAGUUACAAAUUAUAUCUAGUGUGAAGAAUUACAUUAAUGGGAUGUAAAAAUUAAAGUCACGAUCUGCUUAUAUGAAUCUAUUAUUAUAGACCCCCAUGGACAUCCCAUGGAACCCCAAUUUGUUUUUUCACUUUCGUAGACCCCUUGAAAGUCUUCGUAGACCCCUGGGGGUCUAUAUAGACCACUUUGGGAAUCACUGAUUUAGAGUCAUUUAUUAUUAGUUUGUUCUCUCCUUAUCAGAAAAUUCUUAAUCCGGUGACCCGACAAAAUAGCGCGAAAUUUCCAUACAAAAUAGAGCAAGACAAAAUAGCGCGGACUUGUAGACUCUAUUUGAUGUGUAUAAAAGUAUCGGAGUAUUAGUAAUUUAGUGUGUCUUGGGCAUUUUUUUGUUGAUGUCUCUAUCUUUUUCAAUAUGACUAGAUCUGAAAUUAUGCCAUAUUUGUAGAGAACGAGAGUACUUUAAAUUUUAUAACAUUCCCCUUUUUCACCAAUGUUUAAAAUGCAUAACUUGCUAAAAAUAGUAUUUUGAAAUGUGGUGACCUCGUUAAAGGGUUAGAAGUUAAUCUCUCACUUCCUCAGAGAAUAGGAGAACACGGAGAACAAGAUUCUGAGGUACAGUGCAGGAGAACAAAGUAAAGCUGCAAGCAAGACUUGACAGAUGACUUGAAGCUAUAUUGCCAAUGUACGGAAACAAGUCGGUGAUGGAAUAUCUACGUGAUAUUUCCUACAAUUUAACUUUGUGAAAGUUUGUGUGUGUGUCUGAAAGUUAUCUUUGCCUGUUUUUUUUUUAAAGUACACGUUGGGAAUGUAAAUAAGUGAUAUAUUUUGAAAUAAUUCAUUUGAACUUAUUAUAAUUUUUUAUUACUUUUGGCUUAUUUAUGUUUUAAGUUAUCUAAAGUGUUUCCUGCAAAUAUAAUGAUAACAUAAAAAAAAAAUGUCUCUAUUCCUAUUUACGGUUUCUAAAGUAUUUCUUUCAAAAUGACUGAAAUAUAUAUUUUUCUGCGCUAUUUUGUCUGCGCUAUUUUGUCGGCGCUAUUGUGUCCGCGCUAUUUUGUCGGCGCUAUUGUGUCCGCGCUAUUGUGUCGGGGUACCCCUUUUUUUUUUUUUUUUUUUUUCCAUUGUAUACAGUAUGUUUUAAUUUGUGAAAAGUGCUCAUCAAUAGGCUAGAAUGAAAUCUGUACAAACAUAAUGAUGAGAAAGGGAAAAACAAAAAAAUGAGAUGACAUGUCUAUCCAAAUAUGUUAAUUUUGAAGGCAAACUAUGGUGGUGAACUUUAUCUAAAAAACCUUUUGAACAAUCAUCAAUUAGUCUUAAAAAGACAAUAAAAAUAAAAUAGUCAAUAUU